Molecule: long non-coding RNA, 513 nt
Organism: Bombina bombina (fire-bellied toad)
Lineage: Eukaryota; Metazoa; Chordata; Amphibia; Anura; Bombinatoridae
Exons: 2
Source: RefSeq, a predicted model, not a curated record
CAUGUAGCUGGUAGGAAAGGGUGGAGCAGAUGUAAGAGCAGAGAUUCUGCCCUCCAUAUGCAGAGGAAGCAAUGUCGUACCAAUAUUCAGGCAGCCUGCGAGGGUGGAGAAAUGCACUGAAUUUCUGUUUUAUUAUAUGCAUGGCACCUGGUCCUAUAUCCUCAAGAGCAGGGGUGUCCAACUUUUUCAAAUGAAGGUCCAUAAACAAUUUGUACAAACUAUGGACACCAUUUGACUCAUUUGGACAAGCCAAUCUGAACUGUCAUUUUGUUCGCAAUCCUUGCAUUGCUUUAUCUUAUCUAUUCCCAUCAUGGAUAAACCCCCAAAAAUCCAAUAUGCUCUUUCAUCUCCCCAGUCAUAAAUGGUUGCAGAGCACAGCAGACAUGCUAUUAGCUGUAGUAAAAAGGCAACAGGUACAGUGCCUAGCAACACUCCGGAAUAGCAGCUUAAAUGGAGAAUGUAUUUUUCCUUCAUGCAAAAAAUAAAUUACCUUUUUUAAAUUGUACGCUAUAA